RNAcentral lists this ribosomal RNA (253 nucleotides) under uncultured bacterium. RNAcentral describes it as "partial 16S ribosomal RNA". It matches the Rfam family "Bacterial small subunit ribosomal RNA", at positions 524 to 776 of the family's 1533-position model. The record is from RNAcentral.
UACAGAGGGUGCGAGCGUUAAUCGGAAUUACUGGGCGUAAAGCGUGCGUAGACGGUUAUGUAAGUCAGAUGUGAAAGCCCCGGGCUCAACCUGGGGAUGGCAUUUGAGACUGCAUAGCUAGGAUGCGGAAGAGGGAAGUGGAAUUUCCGGUGUAGCGGUGAAAUGCGUAGAUAUCGGAAGGAACAUCAGUGGCGAAAGCGACUUCCUGGUCCAGCAUCGACGUUCAGGCACGAAAGCGUGGGGAGCAAACAGG